AAAGUCCAAGGGUUCCUGCUUAAAGCUAAUCUGAGCAGGGUGAGCCGACCCCUAAGGCGAGGCCGAAAGGCGUAGUCGAUGGGAACCAGGUUAAUAUUCCUGGGCCAGGAGGAAGUGACGGAUCGUAGCUGUUGUCAGGCCUUAUCGGAUUGGUCUGGCCUCGAAGCGGUUCCUGGAAAUAGCCCUCCAUGAGAUCGUACCCUAAACCGACACAGGUGGACUGGUAGAGCAUACCAAGGCGCUUGAGAGAACUGCGUUGAAGGAACUCGGCAAAAUGCCUCCGUAACUUCGGGAGAAGGAGGCCCGUCUGCGGGCAACCGUGGGCGGGGGGCACAAACUAGGGGGUGGCGACUGUUUACUAAAAACACAGGUCUCUGCGAAGCCCAAAGGCGACGUAUAGG
RNAcentral lists this ribosomal RNA (401 nucleotides) under Amaricoccus sp. HAR-UPW-R2A-40. RNAcentral's name for it is "Bacterial large subunit ribosomal RNA". It matches the Rfam family "Bacterial large subunit ribosomal RNA", at positions 1340 to 1849 of the family's 2925-position model. Lineage: Bacteria; Pseudomonadati; Pseudomonadota; Alphaproteobacteria; Rhodobacterales; Paracoccaceae. The record is from Rfam by way of RNAcentral.